GGGGCUGUAGCUCAGGCUGGUUAGAGCACCUGCUUUGCAAGCAGGGGGUCGUCGGUUCGAAUCCGAUCAGCUCCA
This 75-nucleotide transfer RNA is filed under the name Acidimicrobiaceae bacterium. RNAcentral's name for it is "tRNA-Ala". It matches the Rfam family "tRNA". From Rfam's summary of the family: Transfer RNA (tRNA) molecules are approximately 80 nucleotides in length. Their secondary structure includes four short double-helical elements and three loops (D, anti-codon, and T loops). Further hydrogen bonds mediate the characteristic L-shaped molecular structure. tRNAs have two regions of fundamental functional importance: the anti-codon, which is responsible for specific mRNA codon recognition, and the 3' end, to which the tRNAs corresponding amino acid is attached (by aminoacyl-tRNA synthetases). tRNAs cope with the degeneracy of the genetic code in two manners: having more than one tRNA (with a specific anti-codon) for a particular amino acid; and 'wobble' base-pairing, i.e. permitting non-standard base-pairing at the 3rd anti-codon position. Lineage: Bacteria; Bacillati; Actinomycetota; Acidimicrobiia; Acidimicrobiales; Acidimicrobiaceae. The record is from RNAcentral. RNAcentral also lists the same sequence under 2 other names.